GAUGAACGCUGGCGGCGUGCUUAACACAUGCAAGUCGAACGGAAAGGCCAGUGCUUGCACUGGUACUCGAGUGGCGAACGGGUGAGUAACACGUGGGUGAUCUGCCCUGCACUUCGGGAUAAGCCUGGGAAACUGGGUCUAAUACCGGAUAGGACAAUGGUUUGGACGCCGUUGUGGAAAGUUUUUUCGGUGUGGGAUGAGCUCGCGGCCUAUCAGCUUGUUGGUGGGGUAAUGGCCUACCAAGGCGUCGACGGGUAGCCGGCCUGCGAGGGUGUACGGCCACAUUGGGACUGAGAGACGGCCCAGACUCCUACGGGAGGCAGCAGUGGGGAAUAUUGCACAAUGGGCGCAAGCCUGAUGCAGCGACGCCGCGGGGGGGAUGACGGCCUUCGGGUUGUAAACUCCUUUCGCUAGGGACGAAGCGUAUUUGUGACGGUACCUGGAGAAGAAGCACCGGCUAACUACGUG
Molecule: ribosomal RNA, 468 nt
Filed under: uncultured bacterium
Lineage: Bacteria
Description: partial 16S ribosomal RNA
Rfam family: Bacterial small subunit ribosomal RNA
Source: RNAcentral